This 406-nucleotide ribosomal RNA is filed under the name Bradyrhizobium sp. R-45662. Its description in RNAcentral is "bacterial SSU rRNA". It matches the Rfam family "Bacterial small subunit ribosomal RNA", at positions 21 to 453 of the family's 1533-position model. Lineage: Bacteria; Pseudomonadati; Pseudomonadota; Alphaproteobacteria; Hyphomicrobiales; Nitrobacteraceae. The record is from RNAcentral.
GGCUCAGAGCGAACGCUGGCGGCAGGCUUAACACAUGCAAGUCGAGCGGGCGUAGCAAUACGUCAGCGGCAGACGGGUGAGUAACGCGUGGGAACGUACCUUUUGGUUCGGAACAACACAGGGAAACUUGUGCUAAUACCGGAUAAGCCCUUACGGGGAAAGAUUUAUCGCCGAAAGAUCGGCCCGCGUCUGAUUAGCUAGUUGGUGAGGUAAUGGCUCACCAAGGCGACGAUCAGUAGCUGGUCUGAGAGGAUGAUCAGCCACAUUGGGACUGAGACACGGCCCAAACUCCUACGGGAGGCAGCAGUGGGGAAUAUUGGACAAUGGGGGCAACCCUGAUCCAGCCAUGCCGCGUGAGUGAUGAAGGCCCUAGGGUUGUAAAGCUCUUUUGUGCGGGAAGAUAAUG